RNAcentral lists this ribosomal RNA (414 nucleotides) under uncultured bacterium. RNAcentral describes it as "partial 16S ribosomal RNA". It matches the Rfam family "Bacterial small subunit ribosomal RNA", at positions 355 to 762 of the family's 1533-position model. The record is from RNAcentral.
UGGGGAAUUUUGGACAAUGGGCGAAAGCCUGAUCCCAGCAAUGCCGCGUGUGUGAAGAAGGCCUUCGGGUUGUAAAGCACUUUUGUCCGGAAAGAAAUCCUUGGCUCUAAUACAGUCGGGGGAGUGACGGUACCGGAAGAAUAAGCACCGGCUAACUACGUGCCAGCAGCCGCGGUAAUACGUAGGGUGCAAGCGUUAAUCGGAAUUACUGGGCGUAAAGCGUGCGCAGGCGGUUUGCUAAGACCGAUGUGAAAUCCCCGGGCUCAACCUGGGACUGCAUGGUGACUGGCAGGCUAGAGUAUGGCAGAGGGGGGUGAGAAUUCCACGUGUAGCAGUGAAAUGCGUAGAGAUGUGGAGGAAUACCGAUGGCGAAGGCAGCCCCUGGCAAGUACUGACGCUCAUGCACGAAAGCGU